GACAGGGAACAGUACCGUGACGGAAAGGCCAACAUAACCCCGGAGAGGGGAGUGAAAGAGAACCUGAACCGGUAUGCGUACAAGCAGUGGGGGCCUACUUGUUAGGUGACAGCGUACCUUUUGUAUAAUGGGUCAGCGACUUAUAUUGAGUGGCAAGCUUAACCGUAUAGGGUAGGCGUAGCGAAAGCGAGUCUUAAUAGGGCGUUUAGUCGAUGGGUAUAGACCCGAAACCGGGCGAUCGAUCCAUGAGCAGGUUGAGGGUUAGGUAACACUGACUGGAGGACCGAACCCACUCCCGUUGAAAAGGUAGGGGAUGACUUGUGGAUCGGAGUGAAAGGCUAAUCAAACUCGGAGAUAGCUGGUUCUCCUCGAAAUCUAUUUAGGUAGCGCCUCAUGUAUCACUCUGGGGGGUAGAGCACUGUUUCGGCUCGGGUGUCAUCCCGACUUACCAAACCGAUGCAAACUCCGAAUACCCAGAAGUGCCGAGCAUGGGAGACACACGCAGGGUGCUAACGUCCGUAGUGAAAAGGGAA
Molecule: ribosomal RNA, 533 nt
Filed under: Staphylococcus aureus
Lineage: Bacteria; Bacillati; Bacillota; Bacilli; Caryophanales; Staphylococcaceae
Description: partial 23S ribosomal RNA
Rfam family: Bacterial large subunit ribosomal RNA
Source: RNAcentral